RNAcentral lists this ribosomal RNA (253 nucleotides) under uncultured bacterium. RNAcentral describes it as "partial 16S ribosomal RNA". It matches the Rfam family "Bacterial small subunit ribosomal RNA", at positions 524 to 776 of the family's 1533-position model. The record is from RNAcentral.
UACGAAGGGUGCAAGCGUUAAUCGGAAUUACUGGGCGUAAAGGGUGCGUAGGCGGUUCGUUAAGUCUGUUGUGAAAUCCCCGGGCUCAACCUGGGAAUGGCAAUGGAUACUGGCGGGCUAGAGUGUGUCAGAGGAUGGUGGAAUUCCCGGUGUAGCGGUGAAAUGCGUAGAGAUCGGGAGGAACAUCAGUGGCGAAGGCGGCCAUCUGGGACAACACUGACGCUGAGGCACGAAAGCGUGGGGAGCAAACAGG